This 23-nucleotide non-coding RNA is filed under the name Arabidopsis thaliana (thale cress). The record is from RNAcentral. Lineage: Eukaryota; Viridiplantae; Streptophyta; Magnoliopsida; Brassicales; Brassicaceae.
ACAUUGUCAUCAGUCGGUGGAGC